RNAcentral lists this ribosomal RNA (460 nucleotides) under uncultured bacterium. Its description in RNAcentral is "partial 16S ribosomal RNA". It matches the Rfam family "Bacterial small subunit ribosomal RNA", at positions 338 to 795 of the family's 1533-position model. The record is from RNAcentral.
CCUACGGGAGGCAGCAGUGAGGAAUAUUGGUCAAUGGGCGGAAGCCUGAACCAGCCAAGUCGCGUGAGGGAAUAAGGCCCUACGGGUCGUAAACCUCUUUUGCCGGGGAGCAAGGGCGGGGCCGUGUCCCGGCCCGGAGAGUACCCGAAGAAAAAGCAUCGGCUAACUCCGUGCCAGCAGCCGCGGUAAGACGGAGGAUGCGAGCGUUAUCCGGAUUUAUUGGGUUUAAAGGGCGCGCGGGGGGAUGUGAGAGUCAGCGGUAAAAUUGCGGGGCUCAACCCCGUACUGCCGUUGAAACUGCAUCCCUUGAGUGCGCGAGAAGUAUGCGGAAUGCGUGGUGUAGCGGUGAAAUGCAUAGAUAUCACGCAGAACUCCGAUUGCGAAGGCAGCAUACCGGCGCGCAACUGACGCUCAUGCACGAAAGCGUGGGUAUCGAACAGGAUUAGAUACCCCGGUAGUC